CUACGGGGUGCAGCAGUGAGGAAUAUUGCACAAUGGGGGGAACCCUGAUGCAGCAACGCCGCGUGGAGGAUGACGCAUUUCGGUGUGUAAACUCCUUUUAUAUGUCAAGAAGAUGACGGUAGCAUAUGAAUAAGCACCGGCUAACUCCGUGCCAGCAGCCGCGGUGAAUACGGAGGGUGCAAGCGUUACUCGGAAUCACUGGGCGUAAAGGACGCGUAGGCGGGUUGGAAAGUCAGGUGUGAAAUCCUACAGCUUAACUGUAGAACUGCACUUGAAACUUCUAAUCUAGAGUAUGGGAGGGGGAGAUGGAAUUAGUGGUGUAGGGGUAAAAUCCGUAGAUAUCACUAGGAAUACCUAAAGCGAAGGCGAUCUCCUGGAACAUUACUGACGCUAAGGCGUGAAAGCGUGGGGAGCAAACAGGAUUAGAUACCCUGGUAGUC
This 440-nucleotide ribosomal RNA is filed under the name uncultured bacterium. RNAcentral's name for it is "partial 16S ribosomal RNA". It matches the Rfam family "Bacterial small subunit ribosomal RNA", at positions 339 to 795 of the family's 1533-position model. The record is from RNAcentral.